CACAAGCGGUGGAGCAUGUGGUUUAAUUCGAAGCAACGCGAAGAACCUUACCAGGUCUUGACAUCCCCUGACAACCCAAGAGAUUGGGCGUUCCCCUUCGGGGGACAGGGUGACAGGUGGUGCAUGGUUGUCGUCAGCUCGUGUCGUGAGAUGUUGGGUUAAGUCCCCGCAACGAGCGCAACCCUCGCCUCUAGUUGCCAGCAUUCGGUUGGGCACUCUAGAGGGACUGCCGGCGACAAGUCGGAGGAAGGUGGGGAUGACGUCAAAUCAUCAUGCCCCUUAUGACCUGGGCUACACACGUGCUACAAUGGGCGGUACAAAGGGCUGCGAACCCGCGAGGGGGAGCGAAUCCCAAAAAGCCGCUCUCAGUUCGGAUUGAAGUCUGCAACUCGACUUCAUGAAGUCGGAAUCGCUAGUAAUCGCGGAUCAGAACGCCGCGGUGAAUACGUUCUCGGGGUUU
Molecule: ribosomal RNA, 460 nt
Filed under: uncultured Geobacillus sp.
Lineage: Bacteria; Bacillati; Bacillota; Bacilli; Caryophanales; Anoxybacillaceae
Description: bacterial SSU rRNA
Rfam family: Bacterial small subunit ribosomal RNA
Source: RNAcentral